UACGGGGGGGGCAAGCGUUGUUCGGAAUUACUGGGCGUAAAGGGCUCGUAGGCGGCCAACUAAGUCGGAUGUGAAAUCCCAGGCUUAACCUGGGAACUGCAUCCGAUACUGGAUGGCUUGAAUCCGGGAGAGGGAUGCAGAAUUCCAGGUGUAGCGGUGAAAUGCGUAGAUAUCUGGAGGAAUACCGGUGGCGAAGGCGGCAUCCUGGACCGGCAUUGACGCUGAUGAGCGAAAGCUAGGGGAGCAAACGGG
This 252-nucleotide ribosomal RNA is filed under the name uncultured bacterium. RNAcentral describes it as "partial 16S ribosomal RNA". It matches the Rfam family "Bacterial small subunit ribosomal RNA", at positions 524 to 776 of the family's 1533-position model. The record is from RNAcentral.